Rhinopithecus roxellana (golden snub-nosed monkey) is the source of this 2068-nucleotide long non-coding RNA. RefSeq lists it as uncharacterized. The record is from RefSeq and is a predicted model, not a curated record. NCBI's taxonomy places the organism in Eukaryota, Metazoa, Chordata, Mammalia, Primates, Cercopithecidae. The transcript is spliced from 3 exons.
AAGAAAGAAAGAAAGAAAGAAAGAAAGAAAGAAAGAAAUGUUACAAAAUAUUCCUUUUCUUCUUUUCUCUCUUAUAAAAACCCAUACAUACCCAACUAUGAGGACUACUUUAAGUGGUGAGUGAAACUGGCUUGGAAACUGUUGACUUCUUAGGAGAUAGAUAAAUGUUUAAAUAAAUGUAUGUGUGCAUAUAUAGAUAUAUAAAGUAAUUUUUACAGAUGAGAAUAUAUGUAUGUGGAAGUCAUAUCCAAAUGACAGGUACCACUUUGGCACCUAAGUUCUUGCCUUUGUAACAGCAAACACAAUGCUAAUACAAGUGUAUCUUUCCGAUUAGUCAUUGUCAACUAAAAGUUAACAAGGUCUACGUGGACUUUCACUCUUCUAAGGCAUGUUAAAAAUAAGCGCAGUAUUAGAAAUGAUCAACCCUGGGCAAAACGACAAAGUGCUUCUGCAGAAACGGACAACGUUGACCCUGAGCAAGUACAUGUGCGGUCUCCCUCCAGGAGAAGCACCGCGCCUCUCCCAGGCUGGCGCACCCUUGCAGGGCAUCAAUCACAAGGGCAUCAGGCCCUCCUGCACCACAGUCUUGUGGUGGAAAAAUAUGGAGGAGGAAGGAGACUGGGCUCCUGGGCCCUGAGCUCAUCUGUCUCCAGGUAGUCACCCACACCCCCGUGAUGCAGCCAGCCACACAACUUGUCCUGAGCCCACCUCCUCAGAGGAGAAGAGCCAUGGCUGGGGAGUCCACCAGGUCCACGGGAAGUGCACAGGAAGGUCCACAGAUCAAGCCACAGACAGGAAAACAGUUGCUGAGCCUCUUGGACUCCCUUCGGCUAGUGUGGUGCUCAGCAGUGCUGCGUCUUAGAUUUACUCCAGCACACAGGUUUAGGUGUAAUUUAUUUUAAAAGUCAAACAGUACACCAUUUGGCAAUUUUAUCACUCCAGGUAUAAUAAAAAAAUAUUCCAUGAUUAUAUGUCAUUUGGUUAAGUCUCCAUCAAACUCUUUUCAAAUUCAAAGCAGCCAGCUCUGCGAUAAGUAACUGCAGCCCAGAAUUAGUGAGCACAUUUUUUCCUUCGCGUUUAAUUGAAACUGAUGUGUUUUGAAAUCAUAGUGGGGGUUUCUCAAGAAAAGUGGUAUGUGUUAUUCAAUCAGCGGAAAACAGGCCUCUGCCAGCAAGAGGCUCAUGCCCCGGGAUUAGUACCCGUUGGCAGCGGUGGGCCCGAGCACUACAGCCUCUCCCGGUGGGUAAAUAUUUAAAUUAUAUGUAUGCCAGUGCACAGGGCAACCUGAAAGAAACCUGUUCUUUUUUCCUUCUGUCCCCCGGCUGUGAAUUCUGAAUAAAAUCUAGGCCAGUGCAGACGCCCUUCAGCAGAUCGCAGGGCUAACUGGCCUUUGGGGAGCCGCCUCCUUCUGCUCCUGAAGACUCGUUUCUCCAGGCCUGGCAGGGGCAUUUCCAAUUAAUAGCAGUGCAGCUUUGGAUCACAGCUUUGCAAAAGGGUCAAUGCUAAGAAGUAAACACUGGAGCGCUCAACGACAAUAAUUCAUAAGCAGCAGGAAGGAAAGUGCUCGCUCGUCUUGUCGGGCUCGUUGGAGCCAGUUCUGAGUUUAUUCAUGACAUGUGAAGUGUAUCCGCAGGCAAACUCCUCGAUGAAACGCCUCAAGACCCACACGGCACUGUCAUUUGAAUUGAAUGGACGGAAACCCCAGCCUGUUGGUGAGAAGAUACCAGAUUCCGUGAAUCGCCACAACAGCCAGGUUGCGUUUACAGCGUGGGGAACACAGACACAAGCACCACGAGGAGAGCCCCCACUUUGCUUUGACAGAGAGCACCGGAGUUCGCAGAGCCUUCCAUGAAGCCGGAGGACGGGGCUGUAGGAGAGUGUGUGUGCCCUGCGGCCCCCUCCUUGCCCAGCACCUGGGUGCAGCCGAUACCCGAGGGGAGUGUCAGGCCCUGGACCCUGUCUCCGGGGCGUGUGCAUCUGCAGUGGCUUUGCUUGGAAGCAAAGUUACUGUAAGCAACAAAGAAUGGACACUUUCUAGCACUGGUUAUCUCUGAGCAAAAUUAUACAG